Molecule: long non-coding RNA, 286 nt
Filed under: Gossypium barbadense (sea-island cotton)
Lineage: Eukaryota; Viridiplantae; Streptophyta; Magnoliopsida; Malvales; Malvaceae
Description: long non-coding RNA (GBAR_LNC023040)
Source: RNAcentral
GCGGAGUAAAUUCCAUGAUUCCUAUUUAUUUGCUUGUCGUGGAUUCCCAUAGAAGCCGGUGAACCGCCAUUUAUUUUGGUUAUUUUCGUCGGUAAUUCCCACAUCAAUAUGGUAAGUUGAAUAACUAUAAACUUGAAUUAGAUUAUUCCAGUUCCAUGCAAGACUUAAUCCUCCACGAGAACCUUCAGCUGAGACAUCCAAACCAUUUUGAAAACCACAUCGUCUCCGAACACUUUCCAUUCUCUUAUUAUCUAAUUUUGUCUCCAUCAAGAAGACCAAUUGGGGA